Non-coding RNA from Lepisosteus oculatus (spotted gar), 2238 nucleotides. The record is from RefSeq and is a predicted model, not a curated record. Lineage: Eukaryota; Metazoa; Chordata; Actinopteri; Semionotiformes; Lepisosteidae.
GCUGCGGGAUUUGAACUGGCAACCUUCCAGCCACAGGCGCAGAUCCUGAGCCACAGAGCCACCGCUCUGCCCAUGAACUAAUAGCUGACCUUGAGGUGAUUUGAACACGCAGCCUUCGGAUCUGGAGUCAGAAACGCUACCGUUGCGCCACACCACAGCUUAAUAAGCUAUACUUAUCAAGCUGAUCUGUCAGGUCAUUUAGGGAAUCACAGGUAUAUUAAAUUUGAGGUAAUUGAAAUAAACAGCAGCCCUCUCUCAAGGAAAAAGUAGUUAUGUAUUUCGACUUGCUUUUAAGCCAACAAAGAACAUAUUCCCAAAUGCAAAGCUAUAAAAAAGAAGAUGACUUCAUCAUUCAGAAUGCGCUGCCAAGCUGUUAAACUGAAAUACAGCAUUUCAUCACCCUUUUAUGCUCUAAUUUCUAAAAAGAAUACAGUCAAGUUAGCAAACAUUUCUUUUACAAACUUUAACAGUGAGUGACUAAACUCCUUCUUAAUGUUUGCCCAAUGGUGCUGCUUGCCUUUCUUUAUGUUUAGAAACUAUUACUCAGAAUCUAGCAACGUUGUUCUUUGUACCCUGUCAAAAUGUUAGUCUUUCAAGGGCCGUUAUCUCCUGCCAGCAAACACACUGAAUCUUGGUGACCUCUAUACAGAUCGUCUACUUAUUAAUGGGAAGAAAGACAGAAUGUACUCAUGUAUCCCAAUUUCUUUGUGAUGUGGGUCCACUUAUGGGGCAUACAGUAUGUACAAUACUCUAUUGGGAGAGGUUUCUGGAACAGUGUGGCCAGAAUUUUCCAACUCUUAUUCUCUGUGGACUGGCAAAACAAGAAGAAAAAUCUUCUAAUGAUCCACUUCCUGAGUGCGUUGAACUCUAAUGUCACCUUACUCCUACUCUGCCUUAAAGAAAAACAGCAUGAAAACAGCACAAAAUCAAAGCGUGAGGAGCCACAAAAUAAAGGGGUGACACUGCAGCCCAACACGACAGAACAGAAAUAUGCAGUGCUGCCAGUAAAGUCAAGAAAAUCAUGGGAAAACAUGUUGGGGAAACAAAUGGGGUAUAUGUAAUUAUAAAAAGUAUAUUGUAAUUUGUAUUUACUGUACAAACACCGUCUAUGAUUGCAGUGUCUCUUUUUUGUUCUUAUCAAAAGCCAUUGUUAUUGUAUCAUCCAAAAAGUAUUUAAAAAACAUAAAACAUCAACCAUUUUGAAUGAACACAAACAUUUACUGAUAGUACAAAAACCAUUAAAGGUACUGUGGCAUAUAGGGUUCUUUUUUACAUCACUUGCUUAUUCACUGGGUUAGACAUUCAUUCUUUUCCUAUUAUUUGUCUGUGUGUUGUGUCGGCUGAAGUUUGCAGAAAUGCUCUAUAUAGUAUAUGAAGAAACAAACUCUGUAGGAAAUGACCUCAUGGAGUUCUCCUGCCCUUCAGAAGAACUUUUAGUUCAGACCUGUCAUUAAAAUUAGCAUUUUUUUCCAGAAUUGGGCUAACAUUUAGUCUAUAUGUCCCUGGAUCUGAAAGAACUAUAUAAUUCUUGUCCAUUUGUUUUAUCUCUUCAGUCCCAGAAGCACUGGAAGUGAGGGCAAUGUCUGCCAGGAGAAUCAUUUCAAUAAGUAAAUUAUUAAUUUAAUUAAUUAACAGAUUUCAGUUCAAACACAAAACAGGAGAUGCUGAAGUCUCAAAGGGUCAGAAGUAGGGAGCCCUUAAUUUGUAAUAUUCUUUAAGAUGGAGGAGCCUGCAUUUAUGCAUGUUCCAGAAGUAGCACUCAUUUACUGUAAUUAAAAUUCUUGAGAUUCUUUUAUUAUUCAUAUUUAAUAAUGAUGCCUCAGAGCAUCUUUGGAAUUGGAAUAACUAUGAAUUUGGCCUUGGAUCUCCACUGCAAAAUAAACCUUGUGUGUAGUAUAUUCUAGUAAAGUAAAAGCUCACACUGUGAGGCUGACAAACAACAUGCUAGUUCAGCUGAACCCUCUGAAACCCUAAACAGGUUUAUUUCACUGUAAAUCAGCACCUACAAGACUGAUGUGUACAUUCUAAGUGUUACAUAUCAAGGAACAAAAUAAUUAAAAAGCCUAGAGAUUUUGUUUCUCUUAGUAGUUAAGAAAAGAAGGAACCUAUCUGCUUGUCAUAAGAAUGAAUGCUUUGUACAUCAAUACAAUUGCUGGCUUGUGUUUUUAUUUUUGAACAAUUGAAUUUCUUUCUGUUAAUACCCCACAUCUUCAGAUUAUAAAUAAAAUCAUCAUUUUA